GAUGAACGCUAGCUACAGGCUUAACACAUGCAAGUCGCGGGGCAGCAUGGGGGUUGCUUGCAAUCCCCGAUGGCGACCGGCGCACGGGUGAGUAACGCGUAUCCAACCUGCCCUUCACCACGGGAUAACCCGGCGAAAGUCGGACUAAUACCGUAUGUUGUCCAUUGACGGCAUCCGAUUUGGACGAAAGGUUUGGCGGUGAAGGAUGGGGAUGCGUCCGAUUAGCUGGACGGCGGGGUGACGGCCCGCCGUGGCGACGAUCGGUAGGGGUUCUGAGAGGAAGGUCCCCCACACUGGAACUGAGACACGGUCCAGACUCCUACGGGAGGCAGCAGUGAGGAAUAUUGGUCAAUGGGCGUAAGCCUGAACCAGCCAAGUAGCGUGCAGGAUGACGGCCCUAUGGGUUGUAAACUGCUUUUAUGCGGGGAUAAAGUGGCCCACGUGUGGGUUUUUGCAGGUACCGCAUGAAUAAGGACCGGCUAAUUCCGUG
This 490-nucleotide ribosomal RNA is filed under the name uncultured bacterium. RNAcentral's name for it is "partial 16S ribosomal RNA". It matches the Rfam family "Bacterial small subunit ribosomal RNA", at positions 28 to 507 of the family's 1533-position model. The record is from RNAcentral.